Molecule: ribosomal RNA, 274 nt
Filed under: uncultured bacterium
Lineage: Bacteria
Description: partial 16S ribosomal RNA
Rfam family: Bacterial small subunit ribosomal RNA
Source: RNAcentral
AUACGGAGGGGGCUAGCGUUGUUCGGAAUUACUGGGCGUAAAGCGCACGUAGGCGGAUUGAUCAGUCAGGGGUGAAAUCCCGAGGCUUAACCUCGGAACUGCCUUUGAUACUGUCAAUCUUGAGUUCGAGAGAGGUGAGUGGAAUUCCUAGUGUAGAGGUGAAAUUCGUAGAUAAUAGGAAGAACACCAGUGGCGAAGGCGGCUCACUGGCUCGAUACUGACGCUGAGGUGCGAAAGCGUGGGGAGCAAACAGGAUUAGAAACCCUAGUAGUCC